AUUUAUAUAGUAUAAACACAUUACCUUUAAUUUCCAAUUAAAAUAUUUAAUUCAAUUUAAUAUAAAUA
RNAcentral lists this transfer RNA (68 nucleotides) under Pheidole fervens. Its description in RNAcentral is "tRNA-Gly". Lineage: Eukaryota; Metazoa; Arthropoda; Insecta; Hymenoptera; Formicidae. The record is from RNAcentral.